CUCCCACUUAAGCCUUCCAAGUAGCUUGAACUACAGAAACCACAGAUGCUUUAUAGAGCUGUAGAACCUCUGUGUGUCCAUGAAUGACUGCUUCCAGCUGCUGCAUCCCGAAGCCUUAGUCCACCUGUGAUUUGGAGCUGAGGAGCAAGUCAAAGCCAAGUGCAACUGUACAGGAAGACUCUUCUUUCUGGCUGGGAUGACACUUUGUCCAUGGAAACACUCAAGUUCAAGUUCACCACUCAAGCAUAAGCAAAGUGACUACAUGAGACUAAGAGAAUGUGUUUGCUAUCCCCUCUGCAAACCCUUCUCCCAGGCCUUCCCAUGGCUGGCUCCAUCUCAUGAUUCUGACUUCAGCUCAAAUGUUGCUCCCUUGAGAGAGGCCUUCCCAGAACAUUCCACAGCUGUCUAAGGCUGUGCCAUUUGUGCAUCACAAUAGCAUUGUGCAGAGGGGGUGCAUGGGGCCCAAAUCCAUCCUGUGAUUGGCUCCUCAAGGAUUUCAUAAGGGAAAGGCUUUGGAGGGUGAGCAAAGACCUUGGACUCUGUGUCUAGGUUAGCACCCCCACCUCCCAUACCCUGUCUCACAUUGUCGGACUUCUGUCUACAUAGUAUGCAUGACUGCUAUCUGAAAUGAGGCAUUUCGGCAACUUGAAAUUGUGUUUCUAUUUGUUAACCAUCUCCUCCCAUCAUAAUGUAAGCCUCACAGAAGUAAGGACUGUAUCUGUCUUGUUACUGUUUGUCCUCCCAGUGCUGGGCACAUAGUAGGUACUCAAUAAAUAUCUACUAGUGAAUGUA
Long non-coding RNA from Cebus imitator (Panamanian white-faced capuchin), 792 nucleotides. RefSeq lists it as uncharacterized. The record is from RefSeq and is a predicted model, not a curated record. The transcript is spliced from 2 exons. Lineage: Eukaryota; Metazoa; Chordata; Mammalia; Primates; Cebidae.